UCCACCCACCUUGGCCUCCCAGAGUGCUGGAAUUACAGGCAUGAGCCACCGCAUCCAGCCCCGUGUUUUUUAUUGGUUAAUUUUGAAGCUAAAACCUCACCACAUGUGCUACCUGGAAGCACUGUCACCUAGUGGUAAGCUCAUAGGCUCUGGGGACACAGACUGGCCACACCUCUUCUCUUGUCUGAGUGCUGGUAUCCUCUUUUGUGGUCGUGAGAACUGAAGAUCUAUCCUGAAGAUUGAUAAGACAGUAAAGUGCUUCACAUAAUACCUGGCAUACAUAUAAUAAAGGCUGCCUGUUUAUAUUUUUAUUCUAUUCUUUAUUUGGUGCUAUUCUGCAUUAAAAUAAUUUCUUAUUACAGUUUUAUAAAUUUACUAUGACAUUUUUGCAAAUGUUAGUGUUUUUCACGAAGUGAAAUGGGUUAUGUUGUGGGGCUUUUGUUGUGAUGGUGAUUUAUUAGAUUAUUUUGUAUACAAGACAAUACAUAAUGUUCAUCAGCUGUUGUGAAAUUAUAAAAACGUCUUCACAUUUUAUAAUUUCAAAGCAAUAUGAAUGAUAAUUGCCUUAGGGAGAGAGAUUUUCAUUGUGACAUAUAAAUACGAUAUUCAAGUUUAGUGUACGAUAGUGGACAUUAACUCAAACUUAACGCUAGCGUAUAACAUGGUGCACUUGAAGUUUUAGUACAAAUAUGAAUGUUUAGGAAAUAAGACUAUUGCACACAAUAAUAGC
This is a long non-coding RNA of Sapajus apella (tufted capuchin), 730 nucleotides long. RefSeq lists it as uncharacterized. The record is from RefSeq and is a predicted model, not a curated record. The transcript has 2 exons. NCBI's taxonomy places the organism in Eukaryota, Metazoa, Chordata, Mammalia, Primates, Cebidae.